CGAGAAAAGCUUCUAGUGAGAAAACAGCGGCCCGUACCGCAAACCGACACAGGUAGUCGAGGAGAGAAUCCUAAGGUGAGCGAGAGAACUCUCGUUAAGGAACUCGGCAAAAUGACCCCGUAACUUCGGGAGAAGGGGUGCUGAUCAUACGAUCAGCCGCAGUGAAUAGGCCCAAGCGACUGUUUAUCAAAAACACAGGUCUCUGCAAAAUCGUAAGAUGAAGUAUAGGGGCUGACGCCUGCCCGGUGCUGGAAGGUUAAGAGGAGUGCUUAGCGCAAGCGAAGGUACGAAUUGAAGCCCCAGUAAACGGCGGCCGUAACUAUAACGGUCCUAAGGUAGCGAAAUUCCUUGUCGGGUAAGUUCCGACCCGCACGAAAGGCGUAACGAUUUGGGCACUGUCUCAACGAGAGACUCGGUGAAAUUUUAGUACCUGUGAAGAUGCAGGUUACCCGCGACAGGACGGAAAGACCCCAUGGAGCUUUACUGUAGUUUGAUAUUGAGUGUCUGUACCGCAUGUACAGGAUAGGUA
Molecule: ribosomal RNA, 529 nt
Filed under: Enterococcus faecium
Lineage: Bacteria; Bacillati; Bacillota; Bacilli; Lactobacillales; Enterococcaceae
Description: partial 23S ribosomal RNA
Rfam family: Bacterial large subunit ribosomal RNA
Source: RNAcentral